Molecule: small RNA, 135 nt
Filed under: Pseudomonas sp. FeS53a
Lineage: Bacteria; Pseudomonadati; Pseudomonadota; Gammaproteobacteria; Pseudomonadales; Pseudomonadaceae
Description: Pseudomonas sRNA P11
Rfam family: Pseudomonas sRNA P11
About the family: P11 is located between a putative threonine protein kinase and putative nitrate reductase and appears to be conserved in several Pseudomonas species. P11 has a predicted Rho independent terminator at the 3'end but the function of P11 is unknown.
Source: Rfam by way of RNAcentral
GCUCCGACGGGUUGGCACGCUGCCUGCUAGAGAGGUUUCGACACAUUCACAGGCCCCUGCUCAACGGCGAGCGGGCGCCCUUCCCGAUCGAACGGGACCUGGACAAAGGCGUCCUGCUGGCAACAGCGGGACGCC